GGGUUGUGAGGUUAAGCGACUAAGCGUACACGGUGGAUGCCCUGGCAGUCAGAGGCGAUGAAGGACGUGCUAAUCUGCGAAAAGCGUCGGUAAGGUGAUAUGAACCGUUAUAACCGGCGAUGUCCGAAUGGGGAAACCCAGUGCAAUUCGUUGCACUAUCGUUAACUGAAUACAUAGGUUAACGAGGCGAACCGGGGGAACUGAAACAUCUAAGUACCCCGAGGAAAAGAAAUCAACCGAGAUUCCCCCAGUAGCGGCGAGCGAACGGGGAGCAGCCCAGAGUCUGAAUCAGCUUGUGUGUUAGUGGAACGGUCUGGAAAGUCCGACGGUACAGGGUGAUAGUCCCGUACACCAAAAUGCACAGGUUGUGAACUCGAAGAGUAGGGCGGGACACGUGGUAUCCUGUCUGAAUAUGGGGGGACCAUCCUCCAAGGCUAAAUACUCCUGACUGACCGAUAGUGAACCAGUACCGUGAGGGAAAGGCGAAAAGAACCCCGGCGAGGGGAGUGAAAAAGAACCUGAAACCGUGUACGUACAAGCAGUGGGAGCACCUUCGGGUGUGACUGCGUACCUUUUGUAUAAUGGGUCAGCGACUUAUAUUCUGUAGCAAGGUUAACCGUAUAGGGGAGCCGCAGGGAAACCGAGUCUUAACUGGGCGUUAAGUUGCAGGGUAUAGACCCGAAACCCGGUGAUCUAGCCAUGGGCAGGUUGAAGGUUGGGUAACACUAACUGGAGGACCGAACCGACUAAUGUUGAAAAAUUAGCGGAUGACUUGUGGCUGGGGGUGAAAGGCCAAUCAAACCGGGAGAUAGCUGGUUCUCCCCGAAAGCUAUUUAGGUAGCGCCUCGUGAACUCAUCUUCGGGGGUAGAGCACUGUUUCGGCUAGGGGGUCAUCCCGACUUACCAACCCGAUGCAAACUACGAAUACCGAAGAAUGUUAUCACGGGAGACACACGGCGGGUGCUAACGUCCGUCGUGAAGAGGGAAACAACCCAGACCGCCAGCUAAGGUCCCAAAGUCAUGGUUAAGUGGGAAACGAUGUGGGAAGGCACAGACAGCCAGGAUGUUGGCUUAGAAGCAGCCAUCAUUUAAAGAAAGCGUAAUAGCUCACUGGUCGAGUCGGCCUGCGCGGAAGAUGUAACGGGGCUAAACCAUGCACCGAAGCUGCGGCAGCGACACUAUGUGUUGUUGGGUAGGGGAGCGUUCUGUAAGCCUGCGAAGGUGACCUGUGAGGGUUGCUGGAGGUAUCAGAAGUGCGAAUGCUGACAUAAGUAACGAUAAAGCGGGUGAAAAGCCCGCUCGCCGGAAGACCAAGGGUUCCUGUCCAACGUUAAUCGGGGCAGGGUGAGUCGACCCCUAAGGCGAGGCCGAAAGGCGUAGUCGAUGGGAAACAGGUUAAUAUUCCUGUACUUGGUAUUACUGCGAAGGGGGGACGGAGAAGGCUAUGUUAGCCGGGCGACGGUUGUCCCGGUUUAAGCAUGUAGGCUGGUUGUCCAGGCAAAUCCGGAUAAUCAAGGCUGAGGUGUGAUGACGAGGCACUACGGUGCUGAAGUAACAAAUGCCCUGCUUCCAGGAAAAGCCUCUAAGCAUCAGGUAACAUCAAAUCGUACCCCAAACCGACACAGGUGGUCAGGUAGAGAAUACCAAGGCGCUUGAGAGAACUCGGGUGAAGGAACUAGGCAAAAUGGUGCCGUAACUUCGGGAGAAGGCACGCUGGUGUGUAGGUGAAGUCCCUGCGGAUGGAGCUGAGACCAGUCGAAGAUACCAGCUGGCUGCAACUGUUUAUUAAAAACACAGCACUGUGCAAACACGAAAGUGGACGUAUACGGUGUGACGCCUGCCCGGUGCCGGAAGGUUAAUUGAUGGGGUUAUCCGUAAGGAGAAGCUCUUGAUCGAAGCCCCGGUAAACGGCGGCCGUAACUAUAACGGUCCUAAGGUAGCGAAAUUCCUUGUCGGGUAAGUUCCGACCUGCACGAAUGGCGUAAUGAUGGCCAGGCUGUCUCCACCCGAGACUCAGUGAAAUUGAACUCGCUGUGAAGAUGCAGUGUACCCGCGGCAAGACGGAAAGACCCCGUGAACCUUUACUAUAGCUUGACACUGAACAUUGAGCCUUGAUGUGUAGGAUAGGUGGGAGGCUUUGAAGCGUGGACGCCAGUCUGCGUGGAGCCAACCUUGAAAUACCACCCUUUAAUGUUUGAUGUUCUAACGUUGGCCCCUGACCGGGGUUGCGGACAGUGUCUGGUGGGUAGUUUGACUGGGGCGGUCUCCUCCCAAAGCGUAACGGAGGAGCACGAAGGUUAGCUAAUCCUGGUCGGACAUCAGGAGGUUAGUGCAAUGGCAUAAGCUAGCUUGACUGCGAGCGUGACGGCGCGAGCAGGUGCGAAAGCAGGUCAUAGUGAUCCGGUGGUUCUGAAUGGAAGGGCCAUCGCUCAACGGAUAAAAGGUACUCCGGGGAUAACAGGCUGAUACCGCCCAAGAGUUCAUAUCGACGGCGGUGUUUGGCACCUCGAUGUCGGCUCAUCACAUCCUGGGGCUGAAGUAGGUCCCAAGGGUAUGGCUGUUCGCCAUUUAAAGUGGUACGCGAGCUGGGUUUAGAACGUCGUGAGACAGUUCGGUCCCUAUCUGCCGUGGGCGCUGGAGAAUUGAGGGGGGCUGCUCCUAGUACGAGAGGACCGGAGUGGACGCAUCACUGGUGUUCGGGUUGUCAUGCCAAUGGCACUGCCCGGUAGCUAAAUGCGGAAGAGAUAAGUGCUGAAAGCAUCUAAGCACGAAACUUGCCCCGAGAUGAGUUCUCCCUGAGACUUUAAGUCUCCUGAAGGAACGUUAAAGACGAUGACGUUGAUAGGCCGGGUGUGUAAGCGCAGCGAUGCGUUGAGCUAACCGGUACUAAUGAACCGUGAGGCUUAACCUUACAACGCCGAAG
RNAcentral lists this ribosomal RNA (2923 nucleotides) under Klebsiella pneumoniae. RNAcentral describes it as "bacterial LSU rRNA". It matches the Rfam family "Bacterial large subunit ribosomal RNA". The record is from RNAcentral. Lineage: Bacteria; Pseudomonadati; Pseudomonadota; Gammaproteobacteria; Enterobacterales; Enterobacteriaceae.